UUUUUUUUUGUUUUUGUUUUUGUUUUCUUCUCCACUGACAGUCAAAUUUAAUGGUACGAUGAUUGCUGAGAGCGGUUAAUACAACGGAGAAAAUAAAAGAAAUUUUGUCAGCUGUUCGUAAUGGCUCAUGCGCUCUCUGCACAAAGAAUACAACAUGAAAAUCGGCUGAUUUUAGGGUGGCCAAUGUGUUGCAAGGGGCAGGGAUUAAAGAGCACAUACCAGAAAACGUCCGAUGUAGUAUGUACAGCACAGUCCAACACACCGCAUAUUUCUUUUCUUUUUUACGUUUUUUGUUUAACAAACACAGCGAGGGGAUAGGAGGGUGGCAAUGGUGGUGGUUGACCUGAUUUUAUUUUUACCUUAUGCCCACACGAGAGACAGGCUGAGCUUGGUGGCACUGCCUCUGUUAGCGUUGGUCUCUGGCAUCGGCGACUGGCACAGUGGUAUUUCGGUGCUUACCACAAACAAGUAAGUCUUCAUCCAUAACAUUUAUCGUAUGAUGCUGUUGCUUGCAGCUUGCUUGCUUGCCACAAUGGGCCUCCAGGAAUUGUGAAACAUUUAUGGUAAAUGCAAAAACAGGCACAGUAUCAGUACCCAGCGCCACAAUAGAUAAUAACAUUUGAUAAUGGUCAUCAGCAAUAGCCUUACUGAUGGGGAAAUGUAACAAUGAAUGGUGUUGUUUACAGCAGCGAAACAAAAACACAACCUGUUUCCAAUGCUGUUGCAAUUUUCAAUAAAAACCAAUAUUUCAAAA
Molecule: long non-coding RNA, 754 nt
Organism: Stomoxys calcitrans (stable fly)
Lineage: Eukaryota; Metazoa; Arthropoda; Insecta; Diptera; Muscidae
Exons: 2
Source: RefSeq, a predicted model, not a curated record